Molecule: ribosomal RNA, 306 nt
Filed under: Triticum aestivum (bread wheat)
Lineage: Eukaryota; Viridiplantae; Streptophyta; Magnoliopsida; Poales; Poaceae
Description: partial small subunit ribosomal RNA
Source: RNAcentral
AUGUAUAGUACUAUUUCUCUUGGAAUGUUGCAUAUAUCCACAAGUGUCCAUUUUCUUGUAGAAUGCUGCAUACCUGGCUACCUGCACAUCAUGCAAUUGGGCAGUACUAAUAUCAAGGAGCGCAAAUGCUACACAGGAUCUCCAAUGGUCAAAACCCCAGUCUCUGACCCACCUACCCCGUGGAGACCAAGGAAGCUGCUAUUUUGGAAGCCUUUUUUUGGGGGGUCAAACUGGAGCCCUCCAGGGAGGUUGAUGGCUUCAAAAGCCUUUUUGGAGUUACAUCUCGUUGAGUAUAUUGAUUAUUAA